Non-coding RNA from Triticum aestivum (bread wheat), 135 nucleotides. The record is from Rfam. Lineage: Eukaryota; Viridiplantae; Streptophyta; Magnoliopsida; Poales; Poaceae.
AUACUACUCCCUCCGUCCGGAAAUACUUGUCAUCAAAAUAAAUAAAAUGGGAUGUAUCUAGAUGUAUUUUAGUUCUAGAUACAUCCUUUUCUAUCCAUUUUGAUGACAAGUAUUUUCGAACAGAGAUAGUAUAUG